Molecule: long non-coding RNA, 621 nt
Organism: Falco peregrinus (peregrine falcon)
Lineage: Eukaryota; Metazoa; Chordata; Aves; Falconiformes; Falconidae
Exons: 3
Source: RefSeq, a predicted model, not a curated record
AUACGCAACACAUACAAUCCUAUAUUAAAAAUUUGCAAGAUGCUGAAGAUGGAUUUUUCUUUUUCCUACUUGCCCAUAUUCGGAAGUGACAAACACUAGAAAUCCUGCGACUAUUUUCCAGUUGACCUGGCUCAUAUAAAAGCAGCCAUCUGAACUAAAAGAAAAAACUAGACACAGCGUGGAGCCAUACCUUUUCUGCAGAGGAGCAGAUACUGACAGUGACCAAAAACUACAAUGUGUGGAAACUACUGCUUAGGAAGAAGUGUUUGCUGUGUGAAAGCCUACAGUAUGCAUACAUAGACGACCGAAGAACUUAGACAAGAUGGGAUACUUUCCUCAUAACCAAAUAACAUUUUUAGAAGCAGACUGCAUAGGAAAUACAUUUUAAUCCAGACUGAAGAAUAACUUCAGCAAUUUGUGUGCAAUGUGGCUGAAAUAUUUAUUUUGUAAACAGCCUGGACAGUUCAGAUUUUUAAGCAAUGUAGAUGUUAAGCACAACUUGGAACUUCUACACAAAUGCAAGCGAAUUAUACCCAGCUAUUGGCAGUAAAGAAGUUGCAAGAAAAAUGUAUAUGCAUUCUGCUCUGAGAUUUACUCUUAAAUAAACUGGCCUAAAGAUCA